RNAcentral lists this ribosomal RNA (467 nucleotides) under uncultured bacterium. Its description in RNAcentral is "partial 16S ribosomal RNA". It matches the Rfam family "Bacterial small subunit ribosomal RNA", at positions 28 to 506 of the family's 1533-position model. The record is from RNAcentral.
GACGAACGCUGGCGGCGUGCUUAACACAUGCAAGUCGAACGGAAAGGCCCUGCUUUUGUGGGGUGCUCGAGUGGCGAACGGGUGAGUAACACGUGAGUAACCUGCCCUUGACUUUGGGAUAACUUCAGGAAACUGGGGCUAAUACCGGAUAGGAGCUCCUGCUGCAUGGUGGGGGUUGGAAAGUUUCGGCGGUUGGGGAUGGACUCGCGGCUUAUCAGCUUGUUGGUGGGGUAGUGGCUUACCAAGGCUUUGACGGGUAGCCGGCCUGAGAGGGUGACCGGCCACAUUGGGAUUGAGAAACGGCCCGGGCCCCCACGGGGGGGAGGAGGGGGGAAAUUUGACAAAGGGGGGGAAGCCUGAGGCAGAAACCCCGGGGGGGGGAGGACGGCCUUCGGGUGGUAAACCGCUUUCGCCUGUGACGAAGCGUGAGUGACGGUAAUGGGGAAAGAAGCACCGGCUAACUACGU